This 466-nucleotide ribosomal RNA is filed under the name uncultured bacterium. RNAcentral describes it as "partial 16S ribosomal RNA". It matches the Rfam family "Bacterial small subunit ribosomal RNA", at positions 28 to 523 of the family's 1533-position model. The record is from RNAcentral.
GACGAACGCUGGCGGCGUGCUUAAUACAUGCAAGUCGAGCGGGUGUAGCAAUACAUCAGCGGCGGACGGGUGAGUAACGCGUGGGCAAUCUGCCCUCUAGCCUGGGAUAACAGUUCGAAAGGACUGCUAACACCGGAUAUGCUCCCAGCCUGGCAUCAGGCAGAGAGGAAAGUUUACACUAGAGGAUGAGCCCGCGUCCCAUUAGCUAGUUGGUGAGGUAACGGCCCACCAAGGCGACGAUGGGUAGCCGACCUGAGAGGGUGAACGGCCACACUGGGACUGAGACACGGCCCAGACUCCUACGGGAGGCAGCAGUAGGGAAUUUUCCGCAAUGGACGAAAGUCUGACGGAGCAACGCCGCAUGAGGGAUGAAGGUUUUCGGAUCGUAAACCUCUGUCUUCAGGGACGAUAAUGACGGUACCUGAGGAGGAAGCCACGGCUAACUACGUGCCAGCCGCCGCGGUAA